RNAcentral lists this ribosomal RNA (492 nucleotides) under uncultured bacterium. RNAcentral describes it as "partial 16S ribosomal RNA". It matches the Rfam family "Bacterial small subunit ribosomal RNA", at positions 30 to 507 of the family's 1533-position model. The record is from RNAcentral.
AUUGAACGCUGGCGGCAUGCUUUACACAUGCAAGUCGAACGGUGACAGGCCUUCGGGUGCUGACGAGUGGCGAACGGGUGAGUAAUGCAUCGGAACGUGCCCAGAGGUGGGGGAUAACGCAGCGAAAGCUGUGCUAAUACCGCAUGUGAUCUGAGGAUGAAAGCGGGGGACCAGGCAGCAAUGUUUGGCCUCGCGCCUUUGGAGCGGCCGAUGUCAGAUUAGGUAGUUGGUGGGGUAAAGGCCUACCAAGCCGACGAUCUGUAGCUGGUCUGAGAGGACGACCAGCCACACUGGGACUGAGACACGGCCCAGACUCCUACGGGAGGCAGCAGUGGGGAAUUUUGGACAAUGGGCGCAAGCCUGAUCCAGCAAUGCCGCGUGCGGGAAGAAGGCCUUCGGGUUGUAAACCGCUUUUGUACGGAACGAAAAGGCUCUGGCUAAUACCUGGGGCUGAUGACGGUACCGUAAGAAUAAGCACCGGCUAACUACGUG